GGGGGGGCAAGCGUUUGUUUCGGAUUUACUGGGCGUAAAGGGCUCGUAGGCGGCCAAUUAAGUCGGUUGUGAAAUCCCUCGGCUCAACCGGGGAACUGCGACCGAUACUGAGUGGCUUGAAGCCGGGAGAGGGAUGCGGAAUUCCAGGUGUAGCGGUGAAAUGCGUAGAUAUCUGGAGGAACACCCGUGGCGAAGGCGGCAUCCUGGACCGGUCUUGACGCUGAGGAGCGAAAGCUAGGGUAGCAAACGGGAUUAGAUACCCCGGUAGUCCUAGCCCUAAACGAUGAAUGCUUGGUGUGGCGGGUAUCGAUCCCCUGCCCGUGCCGUAGCUAACGCGUUAAGCAUUCCGCCUGGGGAGUACGGUCGCAAGGCUG
This 374-nucleotide ribosomal RNA is filed under the name uncultured organism. RNAcentral's name for it is "partial 16S ribosomal RNA". It matches the Rfam family "Bacterial small subunit ribosomal RNA", at positions 528 to 896 of the family's 1533-position model. The record is from RNAcentral.